GGAGAAAAAGAGAAGGACCUAUUGGAUAUAAUUAGAGCCAACAUGGAAUGAGAAGAAGAUGGG
This 63-nucleotide small RNA is filed under the name Caenorhabditis elegans. Its description in RNAcentral is "Unclassified non-coding RNA Y71H9A.9". Lineage: Eukaryota; Metazoa; Nematoda; Chromadorea; Rhabditida; Rhabditidae. The record is from RNAcentral.